CCCAUCUAUUUAUAUACUUACUUUUUAAAAUUAAUACUAACUCAUAUAUCCAUUUGUUCAUUCACUCACAUUAUCUGUCAAGGUUCUUUGCUUAUAAGCAACCCGCUUCUGAAUAUUUUCAAGAAAACAAAGGAGAGGGUAUUGGAAUGAUGCCACAACAACUCAGUUUGUAAGAGCUAGAAAGAAUGUUAUGAGUUGAAUCAUAUCCCCUCAAAAUUCUUAACCUGUGGGACCUCAGAACAUGAUCUUAUUCGGAAACAGGACCUUUGAAGCUGCUGUUAGUUAAGCGAAGAUGAGGUCAAUACUGGAGUCCAGCAGUUCCCUGUUCUGAUACGACUGAUGUCCUUAUCAAAAGGAGGCAUUUGGACAGACAGACACACACGGAAAUAAUACAACAUGAAAAGACACACAGAAUCUACAAGCCGACAAGAGAGGCCUGGAACAAAUCCUCCCUUAAGCGACCUCAGAAGGAACCAGCUAUUGACACCUCGAUCUUGGACUCUGUGCCUCUUAAACCACGAGACGGUGCCUCUGUUGGUGAAGCCACUCAAGUUUGUGGUGUUUGUUCUGGCAGCCCCGGCAAUCCAAUACAAUGAUCGGUAUAAGAACCAGCAAAAACCAACCCCCCAGAAAAAAGAAAACCCUGAAAGGAAGUAGGGGCGCUCCAAAGACCUGAGCAGCUCGAUGUCUGUGGUUUUCCUUGGGUCCUGCCAUGAGAAGACCCAGCUCCAACUGUCUUCCAGCACUCUCUUCAUCCUGUGCCCGCAGCAGGAGUCUAACUGGCCCACCUUUACCAGGGGUCUCUGCCUUUGUAUCAGUUGGCCCUGGUCAACAGAGAAUGGAGUGGCGCACACACAGCCGGGGGAGAAGCUCAGAGAAUUUGACAAAAAAACGCUCUACUGCGUUUACAUUGAGGACGCCCCUGGUCCCUGUCUUGGGCUAAGUUCUGUCUAA
RNAcentral lists this long non-coding RNA (954 nucleotides) under Capra hircus (goat). RNAcentral's name for it is "lncRNA (ENSCHIG00000008150.1)". Lineage: Eukaryota; Metazoa; Chordata; Mammalia; Artiodactyla; Bovidae. The record is from RNAcentral.